UUGACCUCGGGAGGCAGCAGUGAGGAAUAUUGGUCAAUGGACGGAAGUCUGAACCAGCCAUGCCGCGUGCAGGAAGACGGCUCUAUGAGUUGUAAACUGUUUUUGUACAAGGGUAAACCUGAAUACGUGUAUUCAGCUGAAAGUACUGAACGAAUAAGGAUCGGCUAACUCCGUGCCAGCAGCCGCGGUAAUACGGAGGAUCCAAGCGUUAUCCGGAUUUAUUGGGUUUAAAGGGUGCGUAGGCGGAUUGAUAAGUUAGAGGUGAAAUGUCCGAGCUCAACUCGGGAACUGCCUCUAAUACUGUU
This 305-nucleotide ribosomal RNA is filed under the name uncultured bacterium. RNAcentral describes it as "bacterial SSU rRNA". It matches the Rfam family "Bacterial small subunit ribosomal RNA", at positions 332 to 637 of the family's 1533-position model. The record is from RNAcentral.